Molecule: long non-coding RNA, 389 nt
Organism: Monomorium pharaonis (pharaoh ant)
Lineage: Eukaryota; Metazoa; Arthropoda; Insecta; Hymenoptera; Formicidae
Exons: 3
Source: RefSeq, a predicted model, not a curated record
GACGUCGAUCCCGCCGCCGCCGACAUCGAUCCCGUUGCCGCCGACAACGUCAGUCCCGCCGCCGCCGACGUCGGUCCCGCCGCCGUCGACGUCGUCGAUCUCAUCAGUGAUGUGGUGGGGGGCCACACCAACGUGGCCAUACCCAUGGGGAGUACCCCACGGACUAUUGAUGACCCCACCACCACCACCACCACCAACACAACCGCCACAGGAGCGGACAAGACCUCCUCGAUGGCAACGAGCAGGGCGCGGGCGAAGAAGGGGCCGCGGAGGGCAGCACAUAAGAGGAAGGGGCCGCGGAGGGCAAAAUAUAUACAUAACUUAUAAGUAAGAGAGCAAUGCCAUGGAUGUAUAUAUAUAAAAAAUACAUAUAAUAUGUAUAUAAAUAU